This is a long non-coding RNA of Meriones unguiculatus (Mongolian gerbil), 5572 nucleotides long. RefSeq lists it as uncharacterized. NCBI's taxonomy places the organism in Eukaryota, Metazoa, Chordata, Mammalia, Rodentia, Muridae. The record is from RefSeq and is a predicted model, not a curated record. The transcript has 5 exons.
GCCGCACCUGCAGCGCGGCCAAAUGUCAUUGUCGCUUCUGCGGGGCGAGCGCGGACGCACCUCCGAGGCGGCAGAUGACUAAUAACGCUUGAUGAGAAUUGAUGGGAAGAGGCGCGCGGUGCCCAGGGCUUUGUAUUAGCUGCCCCGACUUCCCCAGCCUCGGCCGACCGGCUGCACCUGUGGACCCCCUUCCUCUCGGCCUUUAUGGAAGUUGACAGAUUUUAUUAACUUUAAGGAAGAACUUUCCAGCGUGCGGAGGGCCGUAGUUUAUUUUGUAUUCAUGCGAAACGGAAACUGAAAAAGCCCUGUUUACAUAUUUACCGGCCCCAGUGACCUCCCACUGGGACUCCAUAAGUCACGGUCCAGAUUAACUUUGUCAUAGAAUUGACUAGAGGGAGUUGGGAGUUCGGGGUUGGGGGGGGAGUUGCAUGUGUAAGUUUUUUUUUUUUCAACGAGAGAAAGCUAUAUUCAAUUAUCUAAUAUCGCUGAGGAACCCCCAAAGACUUCCCGAAUGGUACCGAAAUUGGAAUUAUUUUUCGAAGCAGGUGCUCACGGGGAGAACAUUUGCAAGCGAGCUGGGUAGAUUUGCCCUCCGCUGGGUUACCCUAGCGUUUCGAUUAUGUAAAAACAAAGGCAUCUCAGGAAGACCCAACUUAAAACUUUCAGCCCCUUGGGGACGAGGGAGCGUGGGGGCGGGGAAUGUGUAGGUGAUACGCUCACAUUUUAGAGGUGAAGAUGGGGCUCUUUGAAAAAUAGAACAGAUACUAUUCAUUUGGUAAAUAUGAUGUUUGUGGGGAAAACAUUGGUCUACAACCCGGCACAGUAACUUUCAACAGAAAAAAAAAACUUACAGAAAAAAAUAUCAAGACUUUGCUUAUAGCCUUUUAAAAUUUAUUUCUGUUGGUGUCUCUUCAUUAUGCAAAAAUCAGUAAGUUUCGCUAUGAUCUUUUCCCAUGGACAUGUCAUACACUUUGCUUCCACCUCACAAUGGUCCUCUUACUCCUCCCAAACAACCCUUUUCCUACUUUAAUGUUUUGUGUUUUUUUUUUUUUUUUUUUUUAACAAAUGUAGAUUCUGAAUAUGAGAGCAAGUACAGGAUGCUUCUGUGAGUCUGGCUUUCUUCACUUAACACAAUGACUUCCGGUUCCAUCCAUUUUCUUGCAGAUGACAUGGUUUUGCUCUUGGUGACUGAGUGAAAAGACUCUACUGUCUUCAUCCGUUCUCUUUGUCCCUUUGCCGGCUGCUGUUGGGCGCCUACACUGAUUCCAUGUUGAAAAUAAAAUAGCAACAAACAUGGAUGUACAGCAGCUGCCAAGGAGGGCCCAGCUGUUUACAGAAGGGGACACAUACCACCAAGGAGGCUCAGGCUGGGAAGCCCAGUGCCUUCAGACGGGGAAGAAGGAAACACUGACAUUCUCCAUUUGAAGACAAGGACAAAACUCAGGCCCAGACUUCACCGUGCAGUCCCUUUUUGAGAAGAGGUCCUGAGUGAUGCUGUGGACAUUCUCCUGCAGAGAUUCCUGGAUUUCCUGGCUCACUGGAAGCAUUUCAGCUGAGUGUACAUUACAAAAGAGCCAAGACAACUUCCUAGGCCCCAGGUUUCAGGAAGUGUAGUCUGCCUCAGCAAUCCCAUCUCUAUGAUGGGUUUCCCCAUCAUUCUCCUCAGUCACAGCAAGUCAGAAAGCUCUGAGCAGGUGUGCUUGGGAAGGUUGCUGUGCCAGCUGCGCAGCAAAUGUCUUGUACUGAGGGUGUGGGAGAAGCGGCCUCCUUGGCCACACAGCAGCUCCUGGCCUCCCUACUCUCUGGGUAAGUCAAGCUAUCCUCACGUCUCAGUUCUGGACUGUGUCAGAGAGCUCGUGUCUGAGGCACAGGUGGAUACUUGAUAAAGACCAGGACCGAAAUGAACCCUGUCUCACAGGUGAAGACAGUGUCCUCCGGGGUUAAGAGGGCAUUUAGAGGUUAUCUGUAGCUGAGCUCAGCCUUGUCAUGGCUCAAGGCAGCUUCCUGUGGAGCCAGAACAAGGAUGGAUACCCUCAGACUCCUGCUGGCCCCCAGCCUUCAAGAAUGGACCAUGGAUCCCAUGUUGUUUACUGAGGAAAGUAAACACAGACUGGCUACUUCCGAGGCAAACCGGAAGUCCCCUGAGAAUCCGGUACUGAGAUGGAGUCUCCAGAUGACAGGGCCUCAAGGACUUGGAGAUCAUCAGCCCCUGAGGUGAAGGCCCCAGGGAAACUCACCACCCCCUUUGAACAGUGUUCAGCAGGUGGCUGCACCCCAGCCCUCAGCAUGUAUGCUCCCACAAUGCAACUCUCUUGAGUGCCUUCAAAUGCCCAUUACCAUGAUGCAAACCGCAAAGGCCAACGUGAAGAGGUGCCACGCUCCUGUGGGCAAUAACACCUCUUGUCCUUUGUCCAAGCGUGGGCAGAGAACUACUCAAAUGCUGAGAGCCUGGAUUGUGUGUCACACAGAGACCUCCCUUGUUCAGCGACUAUGAACCUUCCCGGCUGUGGGAGGGACAGAAAGGUUUUUUGGGCUCCCAAGAUCAGGUACUCCCAGCCUUUCUUCUCUUGCUGAAAGUUAGCCCCAUAUGUUUUAAACCAGAAAAUGUGCUUUGUGGGGAAGGCUCAGUGGAUAGCUGUGUACCCUGGACAUUGUAACAAGGCAUCCCAUUGAGGAUUUAGUGGGAGGUGCCAUGACGGAUGGGCUAAGCAGCCUGCAGCUUCUGUGAUUAGCACAUCUGGAGACACUCACUGCUGUAGGCCUGGAGAAGUACCGCUAAGGAUGCUUUUAGUGGCCAGUCACCACUAGGCAUGAUUUGUUUAUGUAUUUUAUAGCUUCAUCACAAACGGAUGGUCUCAAGCAAGAUGAUAUGCAAUUCUUCUGACUGAAAAGGAGGCCGAAGCCCAAAGGAGAGAAGACUCUUGCUCAGGGCCACACAGCAAUUUCUAAACAGGCUUGCAAACAGAGGGAUGGGCCCAUCUUUUGAUCUAUGAAUAUUUUGAACUAUUAAAUUCAUAGCAGAGAAGUACAAUCCCAAGUGCUUGUAUUUACUUUAUACAGAUCCGCCAGGUCCAUCACCAACUGGAUAAACAAAUAUCUAGCUUGAAGCGACUAUGCCUCAACCCUAGGGUAGCUGGUACAUGGCACCGUGUGGCUGGUGUGGAAGAGCGAAGAGCAGUUAAGUGGGCCUGACUGCGGAAGGCACAAAAUAGAGCUGGUGGUGUUCCAGGGCCUUUGAGGUUCUCUGUCGGUGCUCCUCAAGAAUGAGACUCUUUGGAAAGCUGAUGUUUUGCCCAGAGGAGAGUGGGGAUGGCAGGCAUGCAAAACGUCACAGUGAUGCAAAAGUCUCUAAUACAGCCUGAGGCCAGCUGUCCUCACAAGAUAGUGCUCAUGAAGACCCCAAGACACAAUGAGAAAGAGAGAGCAGAAGUCACAAGAUUGUCCAUGAACUUGUCACGUGUUUCUUGAGAACCCACUCCAUGCUGGUCCCCUGGGCUGAUCAUGGAACACUCAGAGAAGCUGAGAGUCCUGUGUGGGAGACAAACACUCAUAUGUAAUGCCAUUCAAUAAAAGCAAAACCACGGUGGCUCAGGAGCUCCACAGAGUAGGGCCUGUCUCAGCCUAAAGAUGGGAGCUGACCAAGCAAAGAGAAGUGGUGAUACUGAGAGAGGAUUCCUAAAGCAUGAGCAGAAGUGCUAGGAUCGGGUAAGAGGUGAGGGCAAGAAAAGAGGUGAGGGAGAAAUGCACGGAACACAGACCACAGCAGAUCCCAUAGAACAGGGUGAGGUAUGUUGUCUCACCAGUACUAUAUUUUUGGAUUGAACUCCAAGAAUGAUCUAUGAGGUUAGGACUGGGACAAGGAAAGAUAACUUUGAAAGCAGAGAUUAGAUAUCCUAGGGGUGACAGUUCCUAACUAUGGUUCCCAGACCUUAAGUAUUUUCAAUGAACUCAUAAAAUGUACAUCAAAAAAAAAGUACAGAGAUCACACCUAGAGCUCAGGGCAUGCUAGGCAAGCACUCUGUCCCUGAGCAGCAAUCCCUAACUCAGUGGUUCUCAACAUCCCUAAUGCUGGGACCCUUUAAUUCAUUCUCCACGUCAUGGUGCCCUGCAACCAUUACAUUAUUUCAUUGCUACUUCAUAACUGUAAUUUCUCUGCUGUUAUGAAUGAUAAUGUAAAUAUCAGUAAAUAAGCAGGCAGUCUUAGGCAACCCCUGGAAAACUUCAUUCUACCCCCAAAAGGGUUGCAGCCCAUAGGUUGAGAACCAUUGAAUUAUGCUUCUAAGUAAAUGCUUUUCUUUUCUCUCUCUCUCUCUCUCUCUCUCUCUCCCUCUCUUUCUUUCUUUUUCUUGUUUGGCUUUUCUAGAUAGAGUUUUUCUGUGUAGCCUUGGCUGUCCUGGACUCACUUUGUAGACCAGGCUGGUCUCGAACUCAUAGAGAUCUGCCUACCUCUGCCUUCCGAAGUUUUGGGAUUAAAGGCAUGUGCCACCACCACUGGGCAUAAGUGCAUUUCUAAGCUUAGAUCAUUUGCAUAUGUGGACUUUGUGCCUUCUUUGCUACAAAAAGAAGAAAACCUGAAAGUCAAUUUAGAGAAAAUAAAUGGUCUCUGAUUAUUUCUAGUCUUAUUCUCUAGAUCAUUGCCCAGUGAGGUCUGCUCUCUUAAACAGACACGGGUAAGUUUGGGAAAGCUUCUGUGUUAAGGAUUUAUUAGUACCAAACUGAGCCUUUCUGCUCAUUUCUAUAGGAUUCAGAAGAAAACUGCAAAUCACUGAAUCGUUUUCUCACUGUGUGAUUCGGGGCUUAGAGGCUCAGUGUCUCUUGAUGACCCAAAAUCAACCUUCAGAAGCAAUCCAGGGCACACAGGGAAAUGUCCUUUCCAGCCCUGAGUCGUUUGAGCACAGAGAAGUUAUAGGUAGGAUGCUGUGUAAUUCACCCAACACAGAGGCAAUGGAGGUUAUCUUGGACCCUCUAAUCCAUCUUUUCCUGUUCCAUCAAGCCUUUCUCAGCAAACUCUUCCACCCUACAUCUGCUUAGGCAUAUUCUAGCUCAAGAAUCUCCUUUUUCUCUUUGAUAUAAUCUCAUACUUUAGCUCUGGCUAUAUGUAUCAGCAUCCCUUCUGUCUCAUCUACCAAUGGGAUUAUAGGCAUGAGCUAUACUGCCCUGCAGAGAAACUUUUCUGUAGCUUGCUAGAGCCCCAACUGUCUAUUUCAGGCCGACACCAAGGUAUUAUGUUAUUUGCUGUACAGCUGGGUGGAAGGGACUUCUCAGGCUGUUGGCUUUCAAGGUUGUCUGGUAAUCUACAUAUUACUUGUUAUUUGAGCAAACCAGCAUUGGUGGGGAGAGGACAAAAGAGUAGAGGAGAUUGUAUUAGGACCCCCAUCAGGUUUCAGAGAUGAGCAGCACAUACAUUAGACUCCUGUCCCUUUGAAUGUCCCCAAGCCUGGGGCCCCUGAGUUCCUACACUGCUCUGAGCCUGCCACAGAUGGGAACUGUAUAAGGACAGCUGGGGUGUGUUUCCGGAUAGGUCUCCCCGCCUCCUCCCCUCUCCAGCUUGUCUGAAAAGGAUGUGGAAAUG